Molecule: ribosomal RNA, 599 nt
Filed under: Salmonella enterica subsp. enterica serovar Newport
Lineage: Bacteria; Pseudomonadati; Pseudomonadota; Gammaproteobacteria; Enterobacterales; Enterobacteriaceae
Description: partial 23S ribosomal RNA
Rfam family: Bacterial large subunit ribosomal RNA
Source: RNAcentral
UGACUGCGUACCUUUUGUAUAAUGGGUCAGCGACUUAUAUUCUGUAGCAAGGUUAACCGAAUAGGGGAGCCGGAGGGAAACCGAGUCUUAAUUGGGCGUUAAGUUGCAGGGUAUAGACCCGAAACCCGGUGAUCUAGCCAUGGGCAGGUUGAAGGUUGGGUAACACUAACUGGAGGACCGAACCGACUAAUGUUGAAAAAUUAGCGGAUGACCUGUGGCUGGGGGUGAAAGGCCAAUCAAACCGGGAGAUAGCUGGUUCUCCCCGAAAGCUAUUUAGGUAGCGCCUCGUGAAUUCAUCUCCGGGGGUAGAGCACUGUUUCGGCUAGGGGGCCAUCCCGGCUUACCAACCCGAUGCAAACUGCGAAUACCGGAGAAUGUUAUCACGGGAGACACACGGCGGGUGCUAACGUCCGUCGUGAAGAGGGAAACAACCCAGACCGCCAGCUAAGGUCCCAAAGUCAUGGUUAAGUGGGAAACGAUGUGGGAAGGCCCAGACAGCCAGGAUGUUGGCUUAGAAGCAGCCAUCAUUUAAAGAAAGCGUAAUAGCUCACUGGUCGAGUCGGCCUGCGCGGAAGAUGUAACGGGGCUAAACCAUGCAC